CGCCGACCUGGCCGGGCCCGCCGCGGCCGACGCCGCCGACACCGGCGCGGCGGAGCCGGAACCGCCGGAGCUGCCGCUGUUCGCCCUGGUGACCGUCGCC
RNAcentral lists this transfer RNA (100 nucleotides) under Streptomyces longispororuber. RNAcentral's name for it is "tRNA-Val". Lineage: Bacteria; Bacillati; Actinomycetota; Actinomycetes; Kitasatosporales; Streptomycetaceae. The record is from RNAcentral.